GAUGAACGCUGGCGGCGUGCUUAACACAUGCAAGUCGAACGGAAAGGCCUCUGCUUGCAGGGGUACUCGAGUGGCGAACGGGUGAGUAACACGUGGGUGAUCUGCCCUGCACUUCGGGAUAAGCCUGGGAAACUGGGUCUAAUGCCGGUUAGGACAAUGGUUUGGAUGCUGUUGUGGAAAGUUUUUCGGUGUGGGAUGAGCUCGCGGCCUAUCAGCUUGUUGGUGGGGUAAUGGCCUACCAAGGCGUCGACGGGUAGCCGGCCUGAGAGGGUGUACGGCCACUUUGGGCCUGAGAUACGGCCCAGACUCCUACGGGAGGCAGCAGUGGGGAAUAUUGCACAAUGGGCGCAAGCCUGAUGCAGCGACGCCGCGUGGGGGAUGACGGCCUUCGGGUUGUAAACUCCUUUCGCUAGGGACGAAGCGUUUUUGUGACGGUACCUGGAGAAGAAGCACCGGCUAACUACGUG
This 467-nucleotide ribosomal RNA is filed under the name uncultured bacterium. Its description in RNAcentral is "partial 16S ribosomal RNA". It matches the Rfam family "Bacterial small subunit ribosomal RNA", at positions 28 to 507 of the family's 1533-position model. The record is from RNAcentral.